AGCUGGUUCUCCCCGAAAGCUAUUUAGGUAGCGCCUCGUGAAUUCAUCUCCGGGGGUAGAGCACUGUUUCGGCAAGGGGGUCAUCCCGACUUACCAACCCGAUGCAAACUGCGAAUACCGGAGAAUGUUAUCACGGGAGACACACGGCGGGUGCUAACGUCCGUCGUGAAGAGGGAAACAACCCAGACCGCCAGCUAAGGUCCCAAAGUCAUGGUUAAGUGGGAAACGAUGUGGGAAGGCCCAGACAGCCAGGAUGUUGGCUUAGAAGCAGCCAUCAUUUAAAGAAAGCGUAAUAGCUCACUGGUCGAGUCGGCCUGCGCGGAAGAUGUAACGGGGCUAAACCAUGCACCGAAGCUGCGGCAGCGACGCUGAUGCGUUGUUGGGUAGGGGAGCGUUCUGUAAGCCUGUGAAGGUGUGCUGUGAGGCAUGCUGGAGGUAUCAGAAGUGCGAAUGCUGACAUAAGUAACGAUAAAGCGGGUGAAAAGCCCGCUCGCCGGAAGACCAAGGGUUCCUGUCCAACGUUAAUCGGGGCAGGGUGAGUCGACCCCUAAGGCGAGGCCGAAAGGCGUAGUCGAUGGGAAACAGGUUAAUAUUCCUGUACUUGGUGUUACUGCGAAGGGGGGACGGAGAAGGCUAUGUUGGCCGGGCGACGGUUGUCCCGGUUUAAGCGUGUAGGCUGGUUUUCCAGGCAAAUCCGGAAAAUCAAGGCUGAGGCGUGAUGACGAGGCACUACGGUGCUGAAGCAACAAAUGCCCUGCUUCCAGGAAAAGCCUCUAAGCAUCAGGUAACAUCAAAUCGUACCCCAAACCGACACAGGUGGUCAGGUAGAGAAUACCAAGGCGCUUGAGAGAACUCGGGUGAAGGAACUAGGCAAAAUGGUGCCGUAACUUCGGGAGAAGGCACGCUGAUAUGUAGGUGAAGCGACUUGCUCGUGGAGCUGAAAUCAGUCGAAGAUACCAGCUGGCUGCAACUGUUUAUUAAAAACACAGCACUGUGCAAACACGAAAGUGGACGUAUACGGUGUGACGCCUGCCCGGUGCCGGAAGGUUAAUUGAUGGGGUCAGCGCAAGCGAAGCUCUUGAUCGAAGCCCCGGUAAACGGCGGCCGUAACUAUAACGGUCCUAAGGUAGCGAAAUUCCUUGUCGGGUAAGUUCCGACCUGCACGAAUGGCGUAAUGAUGGCCAGGCUGUCUCCACCCGAGACUCAGUGAAAUUGAACUCGCUGUGAAGAUGCAGUGUACCCGCGGCAAGACGGAAAGACCCCGUGAACCUUUACUAUAGCUUGACACUGAACAUUGAGCCUUGAUGUGUAGGAUAGGUGGGAGGCUUUGAAGUGUGG
RNAcentral lists this ribosomal RNA (1338 nucleotides) under Escherichia coli. RNAcentral's name for it is "partial 23S ribosomal RNA". It matches the Rfam family "Bacterial large subunit ribosomal RNA", at positions 847 to 2167 of the family's 2925-position model. The record is from RNAcentral. Lineage: Bacteria; Pseudomonadati; Pseudomonadota; Gammaproteobacteria; Enterobacterales; Enterobacteriaceae.